Molecule: ribosomal RNA, 160 nt
Filed under: uncultured bacterium
Lineage: Bacteria
Description: partial 16S ribosomal RNA
Rfam family: Bacterial small subunit ribosomal RNA
Source: RNAcentral
UGGGGCGAAGCCUGAUGCAGCCAUGCCGCGUGUGUGAAGAAGGCCCUAGGGUUGUAAAGCACUUUCAGUGGGGAGGAAAGGUUGAAGGUUAAUACCCUUCGGCUGUGACGUUACCCACAGAAGAAGCACCGGCUAACUACCGUGCCAGCAGCCGCGGUAA